UUUCUCUGAAGCCAGACUGAAAAAGUGAACUUAUAUUUCACUCAUUAGAAAUAAAAGCAGAAUCUCCCUAGCCAGUUUGGUACACAUAGAACAGAACAAAUUGCUUGGAUUUGUUUUACAGUCACUCAGUAUGUGAGGAAUCAUAGCAUGAAAUUGAGUUGGGCACAGGCCACAUGCCCAGCGUGUGUCAGGGGGUGGAUGUAAUGCCUGGCAGACUAGUGAUACGUUCACUCCAAAAAGCAUGUGAAGGUGGCGGAUGAGCGGGGCUUCCCAAGUGAUGGAGUAAGGAAUUCAGUGGAAAUUUUCCCCAGCAAAAUAGGGAAAAUUGCUUAAAAAAAAAAACACAAGCAAUUAUAUAAAAUCUAUGGAAAUUAUCCUGAGGACAUACAGUAAAUGGAGAAAUGUGCAUUCAAGAAAAUCUACCAAAUAUGCAAUCAGCCAGUCUGUACCCUUUGAGCUACAACCUCCUAACCACACCCCGUCCACAGCUCCAUGUUCUGGAAAUGCUACCCUGGGCCCUCCACUCGGCAUACAAAGCCAAGAAGAUUGAGUUUCUUUCCCUGCAACUCCCUUUCUGCAGCUAGGGGUUCACUCGGGAGAGACAGGUCGCUUGCCUUUCUCAUUCCCUGCUGCUCUUUACUGCAGAAGCUGUACUGAGGGCCAGGCAGGCGAGGACAUUGAGGGCUCAAUCGCCCUGCCCAGGUUCUAAAUAGGGUGGAGAUGCCACCCCAGGAGGGCAAGCCAGGAAGAAUAGGAACACCACUUCUUCCAGCCACCCCCCACCCCCGCCCACUUCUAGAGCAGAAAUGUCAUUCUUAGUAAAAGAGGGUCCGCACUUGAGUUCCAGGGCCUUGCCCGGAGGAAAGGCAGGCCAUGUGGAUGAGGAUCUCCCCCGCUCUGCCUGAGGAGACGGACUUUCUUUGGAACAGAGCCCGGAGCCCUGCGUGCCUAGGGGUGUUGUCAAAAAUAAUGGAGAUCUUGGAGAAGAGCGAUAAAGGAGGCGGUAGCUCCCUGGCACACGUAAGAUAGCAGAGCAUCCAGAAAUCUAACAGAAGCAGAGGAAGAGGCUAGAAGAGCUCUGCUGGGGCCACGAUCAAUCCUGGGGGUGCCCUAGGUGUGCGCACUCAGGAGAAAUGAAAGCAGGACGUGGGGCUGACUUCAAAGUGUCCCAGGCCACACAGGGCCCAUCAUCACAGGGCAGAGUCCUCACCGGCACAGGCUCAAACACUCCCUCUGAGCGAACACCACUGAACAAUAAGCUAUUCCCACCCAGGGGCUGCUCCCGGAAGCCAGGCUUGUAACUAGGUCACACCCAUUCCUGGGAGCCUGGGAAACCAUACCAGGGGCAAGACUGAGCCCUCCCAGGGGUGACCAGCGAGGGGGCUCCAAGCUGCUAGUCCCUGACUGAAUGUGGAGCUCAAAAAUGCAAAUUCCCCGAAGUGUGACAGCGAACUGCAGGCUGUACGGACCUCCAGCAGUGAAAGGAACGAGACAAAAGGAUUCAGAGGCAAGGAGACACAUAUUUGCAGCCUACCGUGCAGACGGCUCAGGAAAAUACAGCAUACGGGACGGAGAGGGGAAGCACGUGUGAUGAAAGCUCACGAGCAGUCUGUAUUGAUACACCUUAAGGCCAUGCAACCAUCUGCUCUUCAUCACAACUCCCCCUAGACUUAUCAUCCACUGUUGAUUCCUGCCGAUCCGGUUGUUACUUCUGAUGUCGGCAAAGCAGAGUUUCCAGCUCUGUCGGUCCCUGCACGUCGACCAGUCGGCUCGUGGCCGCUCACGGCAGUUCGUGGUGGUCUACUGUAAGUAAGAGCCCGUCGCCGUCAUCUGUGUGUGUAUGUGCACUCCUUUAAUAUAUAAAAUAGUUUCAGAAUUACUUUGUCCAUGAGGCUGAAAUAAGCGAUCCACUAAAAAGGUCAUUUUCAAUAACUACCACCCCCAAAAUGGCCCAUGCCUUUCCCCAAAAUGAGGCUAUACAGGCAAACACCGUGCUCAUACAGCAGGUGGAUUGGUUCAGUCUUUCCUUCCUCCCUGCACACACACACACACACACACACAAAGACAGUUUGAGCAAUAAAUAUUUUUUCAAAGUAGGAUUGGAUAUUAAGCAUAAAAUGAGUAUAUAUCAAUCCAUGUUGAUAUAAAUGUUUGAAGAAAGGCAGCAGGCAUGCACAACAAUGUGUACUGUUUGAACUCCUCUGUGUUCAGCUUUAACAACUUAAA
This is a non-coding RNA of Manis javanica (Malayan pangolin), 2226 nucleotides long. Lineage: Eukaryota; Metazoa; Chordata; Mammalia; Pholidota; Manidae. The record is from RefSeq and is a predicted model, not a curated record.